Anopheles coluzzii is the source of this 1136-nucleotide long non-coding RNA. RefSeq lists it as uncharacterized. The transcript has 2 exons. The record is from RefSeq and is a predicted model, not a curated record. Lineage: Eukaryota; Metazoa; Arthropoda; Insecta; Diptera; Culicidae.
AUUGGAGCAAAGCUGGAGCACGCACUAUGUAAGGGUGAUUAGAUAUUAGUUGUGGAUGUAAAAGACAUGAAACGAAAUGAAUUUAAUUUGCUCGUACACGAAUAAUUCUUUCCUUAAACGGUUCAACACGCACGAGAAUCUAAAAGUGAACUAUUUUACCAAAGCUGAGCGUGAGCUCGCCUCUAUUCGCACGGACGAUGCGGCACUAACUGAGGCGAUAGUCGGAAUAAAGCGCUGAUAAGAUGUGAUACCAUCGCUAAACAUCGGCACCCGACUUCGUACAGUGGGUCAGCUGUCGGCUGGAAAGGAAGGGCAGCAGAGUAAACAGGAAUUGAGCGACGGACCUAUCCCACACGCUGGGGCGGGAUGAGCCAUGAUUAGAAAGAAGGGAAGAAAAACGGCAGAAAAAUAUCACGAUGCGCAUGCAUUGCAUUUUUGCUAUUGCCAAAGGGCAGUAUGGAAAUCGAGUUCGAAUCGAGUAGAGCCAAGCUAAUUCAAUUCCAAAUAUUUCCAAUAAGAUUUCAUUUCUCCAACUAGAACUUAACGACAACUGUUUAUAUCAAUAUUAUUUUAUUCAUAUUCUUCUGCAGUUUGGCUUUAUUUUACAGUUUACAUCUUCAUUUGCUCCAGCCCAUAGACCCUUCUCCUCCUCCUCCUCCUCCUCUGUUGUCCUGAAUUUUACCACUAUCAAUAAUAGGGUUCGCUGGCGGAUUCGAAGCUCCUUCUACUCCUGCAGCAACAAAAUUUACACCGUCUUGCUUUACUUCUUUCAUUAUUCUAUUCUGUUUCAGUUAGGUACCAUAAACGCUCGCUUUUUUAUCUGGUCACAAUAUUCAAUAUUCUCCCCUGCGAAACACUUUUCCAUUAGCGUGUCGAUAGUGUGAAGAAAGGAAGGAGGAAGAUAGUUUGGUCCACGUGUAACGAGAGUUCCAAAGGCGUGAACCUGUUUUGAUUCGCAAAAAUUGCACAACGAAAAGGGAAAGUGAGCGCUAGAAGCUGGAAGAGCUCAAACAAACAGCUUGAAUCACUUAUCCGAAUAAUCGGCUAUUGAACACGGGAGUCUACAGGAUCGAUUCAGCGCGCGCAACAAACCAACGGCAGCUAAAUAUACAUAUGGCGGGAGCAGCAGAAGCUAA